UACAAAUAGAAGUUAGACGGGGCCCGGCACAAGCGGUGGAGUAUGUGGUUAAUUCGAUGCAACGCGAAGAACCUUACCUGGUCUUGACAUCCCGGAGACCCUUAGGAAACUAGGGGUGCUCCAUCUGGAGAAUCUGGAGACAGGUGCUGCAUGGCUGUCGUCAGCUCGUGUCGUGAGAUGUUGGGUUAAGUCCCGCAACGAGCGCAACCCUUGCCUUUAGUUGCCAGCAGUUCGGCUGGGCACUCUAAAGGGACUGCCGGUGUUAAACCGGAGGAAGGUGGGGAUGACGUCAAGUCCUCAUGGCCUUUAUGACCAGGGCUACACACGUACUACAAUGGCCGAUACAAAGGGCAGCGACACUGCGAGGUGAAGCCAAUCCCGUAAAAUCGGUCUCAGUCCGGAUUGGAGUCUGCAACUCGACUCCAUGAAGUUGGAAUCGCUAGUAAUCGUGGAUCAGCAUGCCACGGUGAAUACGUUCCCGGGCCUU
This 487-nucleotide ribosomal RNA is filed under the name uncultured Desulfobulbus sp. RNAcentral describes it as "bacterial SSU rRNA". It matches the Rfam family "Bacterial small subunit ribosomal RNA", at positions 916 to 1381 of the family's 1533-position model. The record is from RNAcentral. Lineage: Bacteria; Pseudomonadati; Thermodesulfobacteriota; Desulfobulbia; Desulfobulbales; Desulfobulbaceae.